CAGCAGCCACGGUAAUACAGAGGGUGCAAGCGUUAAUCGGAAUUACUGGGCGUAAAGCGCGCGUAGGUGGUUUGUUAAGUUGGAUGUGAAAUCCCCGGGCUCAACCUGGGAACUGCAUCCAAAACUGGCAAGCUAGAGUAUGGUAGAGGGUGGUGGAAUUUCCUGUGUAGCGGUGAAAUGCGUAGAUAUAGGAAGGAACACCAGUGGCGAAGGCGACCACCUGGACUGAUACUGACACUGAGGUGCGAAAGCGUGGGGAGCAAACAGGAUUAGAUACCCGGGUAGUCCCUGUCUCUUAUAC
Molecule: ribosomal RNA, 301 nt
Filed under: uncultured bacterium
Lineage: Bacteria
Description: partial 16S ribosomal RNA
Rfam family: Bacterial small subunit ribosomal RNA
Source: RNAcentral